This 1107-nucleotide long non-coding RNA is filed under the name Macaca mulatta (Rhesus monkey). Its description in RNAcentral is "lncRNA (ENSMMUG00000051008.1)". Lineage: Eukaryota; Metazoa; Chordata; Mammalia; Primates; Cercopithecidae. The record is from RNAcentral.
CUUCUUUCCCUCCCUCCUAGCCAGGCACCAAGUCCUCAUUAUCUGAGUCACAAAGGAGGAUCACAAAAAAGCAUCUCGGACAUGACAGGAAGGUCUCCCCUCUGGCCAUAAAUACAACUCUCUAUGAAGUGCAUGAAUAGCCCAGAGGGCCCACCCUCCACCUGCACUCAGAAAGGAGAAGCCAUGUGAUCAUCAUACUAUAACAUGGAUCAUAACUCAUGAUCAGAGCCCUUCCCAUGGGCUGGGUGUUGAGCUGGGCUCUUUCAGGCACUUUCUCUUAGUCCUCAUCAAAACUCCAUAAAGCGGGUGCUAUGACUAUCCCUACUCUACAGAGUCACCGAGGCGUACAGAAGCAAUUUCACCAGGGUCAUGCAACUAGUUAGCAGUGGGGCAGGGACCCUCAGGGCUGUCUGAAUACAGACAGUGUUUCUAAUUAUAUCAUACUCAUGUGUAUAGGACUGAACCAGUGUCCAAGUAUACCCAUGUGUUCUUCUACCAAUGAGGACCCCAGCAUGUACCAUGAAGCUACUCUUUUUUUCUCUCUGAUGAGCAACACCCCUGCGUGCAUGGAUGAAAAGCCUUUUUGCACACAGGGAUACCUGCCUAGGUCAUAGUGAUGCCGUCCCUGUGAACGCCAUUCUGUGUUCUGGACCCAGCCUGACAAGACUACCUAGUAUUGGGCUUAAUGAUGAACCCACUUUCACAUACACCCGUAUGCAUCUUCCAGGAGUACUGGACUCCAGAGACCAGGAUUGACAGGAGAGGAGGUCCCAGUCAUAUCCACUGUUCAUCAAUAUCCAGCUCUCCUCUCCUACCUGGAUACAUGGCAGUCUAUACUUUCCAGCUUCCCUUGCAGGUAGGCAGACAUUAUGACUAGUUCUGACCAAUUGACAGUGAGUGGACUUGACAUGUGAAACUUCUGAGCUGAAGCAGUGAAAAAUCCCUGCAGGAUCUUCCAGCUUUCCCUUAUUCUUUGUUGGAGAUAAUGGAAGCAGCAUGUUGACAUGGUUGGGACAUAAGAUCAAAGCAACCUGGAUAACUGGGUUAACACAUGGAAGACAGCAGCGUUGGAGAAUCACCUGAUUUGCAGUGCAGUUUGUGAGAGAU